This 2381-nucleotide unclassified non-coding RNA is filed under the name Hevea brasiliensis (rubber tree). Lineage: Eukaryota; Viridiplantae; Streptophyta; Magnoliopsida; Malpighiales; Euphorbiaceae. The record is from RNAcentral.
AUAAAAUUUAAUUUAAUUGGAUUCUAAAAUUUUCAGAUUUCAAAUUUACGACAAUAUUAUUUAACCAAAAGAAAAAUAAAUCUCAAUGCUACUUUCUCUAGCUAGAUUUAGAGAGGAAGCCUAGCCCAGAAAAUAGCCUCCUUAUUGCAUGAAAAAGUUCUAUCAUCAGUGCCCAAUACAAACGGGCUUGCAAGAGUACAAAUACCGAGACAGGAAAGAAAACAAGAACAUAAAUGAGAAUUGUCGUCCAUUGUUUAUCCGUACCAAUGAUUAGUAAUAUGGUGGCUCCGAAUGUAAGCAUGGUCGAAAUCAUCGAUAGCGUGAGCAAAGUGAAACCAAGAACAAGCUUGUGAGGGAUGGAGCGACGGAAAUCAUCGAAUUCAAGCGGAUAAGUGUGAAUAGAGAGGAAAGCCAAAAUCGUGGCCAAAGAGAAAACCAAGGAAAUAACAUCCAUGAUGGUGAAGAGCAAGAAAUAAGGAGAAUCGCGUAAAACGGGAGACCCCUUAUCAUUCAAACCUCCUGGUAUGGUGAAGACAGCAGCAAAAACCACAGCGACAACUAGAGCAGCAACAGUAAAGCACGCCUGAGAGGUUUCUUUUAUCCAUUCCUGCGCCUCUUUGAGUUGUGCUUUGUGCGUUCUUUUAAAGAUCUCUUUUGCAUUCAACUGUAAAUCUUCAGCAUCAUUUUCUACUCUAUAAGUUACUCGAUGCAUGACAUAAUGAGAGGGAACUAUCCUCUUCACGCGCUACAUGGAGAGAAUAAGAUCGAAUUUCUCAAAAUAGAUAUAUAAUUACAAGUGUAUGCUGCAAAGAUUAGUAGUGACAAGUUAUAAUUAUGCUUGUUUUAUUUUCUUAAAUGUUAGUUAAUAAUUAAUUAAGGAUAAUGGUACCAAUGAGAAGCUUACCUCAAACCACAUUAACUCUUCUUGCAAUUGAAGUGCAGGACCAGGCCUCGUGCCUUCGGUGUUGAAUUCAGUGGACGCAACUUGGUGCAACAAGGUAUAACCUUUAUCGGCAAAUGCUUCAGUCAUCCUCUUCCACUCUAUUUCGGCCAUAUAUCCUCUUAACUUGUGGAAAAUUUCUUUGCGUCGGUGCAAUACGGCCACAUGCAAUAUGUUCUGUUGCUUGUCAUUUAGCUGAUCAAUAACCAUAGGAUAUUCCUGGAUUGUUUCACGAACGAUCUCCACUAUUCCCAUCUCAGUAGCAGUAAAUAAAAGCGUUUCACAACGCUUUGGAUCAGUUGUUAAUUUAAUUAGCGAUCUGGCAAGUUUCAAAGCAAAUGUGUGCUUUCUCUUUUCUUUCCAGAUUUUUCCCACCAUCGGCCAGCCUUUCAUGAAUUUCCAGAUUGAUUGGAUUGUGAUUGUUUUCUUUUAGAACUUUAUGUUCAAUUGCUAUUUCAGUAGUCACGGCGCUCCCCCCCAUCUCCAAAUCCUGCUCCCGCAUUGAAGACUGUCCAAGUGUGUCACUAACUUCGGUCUCAGUCUCGUCAUGAACAGGAAGGCAUUUGUAUAAUAAGCUUUCAAAAACGCCCAUGGUGUGUCCACUCUUGAAAGCGGACGGCAUAUUAGCGAGAGCUUCAAGAAUAGUCCUGCCAGAUAUGUCCUUCAACAGCCAAGGUCGUUUAUCAUUCUCCAACCGCCAAAGAGAUUUAUUAUCCUCCAGCCGCCAGAGUGAUUCAUAAAGUUUCAGCAACAGCAAAGCGGUGUCAAAGUGUUCUCCUUCCAUGGCAACUUGAAGAAUAGAUUUUUCACCAUCAAAUCUUAUCAUAGAUUGUGCUAAAAUCAUUCUCUUGUCGGCAUUUUCUCCAUAAUUAAAUUUAGUUAACAACUUGACUAUUUCUUUCUGGCCAAAUGCAGCUGCUGUAAAUAUUGGGUUCUCGCCCAAAAUAUUUUUCAUCUUAAUUAGCUCGAUUGGCUCGUAAUGGUCAUUCAAUAUGAUUUCCGUUACUUCAGUGUUUCCAGUGGCUGCUGCCUCAUGAAGAAUUGUGUUUCCAUUUCCAUUCCUCUUAAAGAAGAAAUCAUCGACCAUUGAGCAAGGCCGGGCAAUUUCUUUUAGAGUUACAAAUGGUUUCUUCGUCUUGCUGUGGAUUGCCAUAUGAAAUACUGUAUCUCCGCCGGUAUUUAGUGUGUCCAGCAGGCAAUCAGGGUAUUUUUUGUAGAAUUCUAUCACACUUUUCCAUUUUCCUUUUGCGAUAUCUUGCAAGUUCCUCCGCCAUUGUUCAAUCGUAGGCAUUUUGAUUUUCCUUUCAGUAUCCUGGUUCUCUUGUGCCGGUGGAGGCUCCAGUUGUAUAGACUCAACAGAACUUUCAAUAUCCUGGAGGGCCUGUUGUGAUGGUGGAGGCUCCGGAUUGCUCAUUUGCAUAGACUCAAAAAAACUAAAAAU